GCAAACUUGGUCAUUUAGAGGAAGUAAAAGUCGUAACAAGGUUUCCGUAGGUGAACCUGCGGAAGGAUCAUUAACAAGCCGUGGGGAUCACCCUGAGAGGGGGCAGAUUCCUCACCUGGCCACCCUUGUUUACUUCAAUGCCUUUGUUGCUUUGGUGGGCCUGCCAUUAGGCUGCCCGUGAAACUGAGUUUCUGGGUUCGUGUUCACCAAGCGUUUAACUAAAUCUGUAAAGUCCUGUUGUCUGAGUGGCAGAAGCAAAACUUGAUAAAACUUUCAACAACGGAUCUCUUGGUUCCGGCAUCGAUGAAGAACGCAGC
Molecule: unclassified non-coding RNA, 317 nt
Filed under: uncultured fungus
Lineage: Eukaryota; Fungi
Description: partial contains small subunit ribosomal RNA, internal transcribed spacer 1, and 5.8S ribosomal RNA
Rfam family: Eukaryotic small subunit ribosomal RNA (bases 1-73)
Source: RNAcentral